UUACAUCGCAACGUUAAUAGUGUUGUGAGGUUUAGUGGAAUUAUGAAUAAUUUUAAUUUGUUUUCUUUCUGGAUUUACAAUAUUGUUGUGGUUUUCCGUGAAAGCAAAGGACAGCGUAUGUGACGAGUGAAAAAAAAGAAGAACUACAUAAUCGCAGAAAACUUCAAAUGAGUCCACAAAAAGAAAACUCGUUGCAAGAUAAAUGGUAUCUUAUGGCUAUUCCAAGCUAGGGCCUGUGGACCCCAACUUGAGGACGAAAAUCAGCGGUUUCGGAUUGCCCUUCGAUUUUGACGCAUGUGCAAUAAGCAAAGGACAAUCUCAAACCGGGUACAAUAUCAAACCGUCACACCGGCCAACUCGACCACUGCUCCACCAAGGCCAAGGCCUCUCUCCACUCUAAGUACAAGAAUGUCGGUGGCGUACGUGGAUUGCUUGCGAAGAGACAUCUGUUUUGUGGGAGCUGGGAAGACUCGAGACUCGGUACAAAGGGUGCUGGCGUCUUUAACGCCGCACGGACCCGCAUAGCAAACUUAACCUCCGAACCAAGGUGCAUACGUGAAUAUUAACACAAAAGUAAGUCUCUACUUCGCGCUAAACGAUUGUUUUACACCGAGAUGACAGACGAAAAGGCUUUGCUGGUACGAGUGGGAUAGAGUGAAACGGUAUAGAGUAGGCCAACACACGAUUUGUUUAAGUGUUUUAUAGACCUGAUAUAAAUGAAACUAGUAUACACUA
This is a long non-coding RNA of Gigantopelta aegis, 735 nucleotides long. RefSeq lists it as uncharacterized. The record is from RefSeq and is a predicted model, not a curated record. NCBI's taxonomy places the organism in Eukaryota, Metazoa, Mollusca, Gastropoda, Neomphalida, Peltospiridae. The transcript is spliced from 4 exons.